UACGGAGGAUCCGAGCGUUAUCCGGAUUUAUUGGGUUUAAAGGGUGCGCAGGCGGGAGAUUAAGUCGGCGGUGAAAUUUUGCAGCUCAACUGUAAAAGUGCCUUCGAAACUGGUUUCCUUGAGUGUAGAUGAAGUAGGCGGAAUUUGUGGUGUAGCGGUGAAAUGCUUAGAUAUCACGAGGAACUCCGAUUGCGCAGGCAGCUUACUAAACUACUACUGACGCUCAUGCACGAAGGCGUGGGGAUCAAACAGGAUUAGAUACCCUUGUAGU
This 271-nucleotide ribosomal RNA is filed under the name uncultured prokaryote. RNAcentral describes it as "partial 16S ribosomal RNA". It matches the Rfam family "Bacterial small subunit ribosomal RNA", at positions 524 to 794 of the family's 1533-position model. The record is from RNAcentral.